AAAUGCUACAGCUGUUUUAGAAUUUGUCUAGCAGGUUUUAUAGAUUUUACCAGAAAACCUUC
Small nuclear RNA from Callithrix jacchus (white-tufted-ear marmoset), 62 nucleotides. Its record names the gene U7. It matches the Rfam family "U7 small nuclear RNA". Rfam says of the family: Animal histone pre-mRNAs are spliced by a different mechanism than nuclear pre-mRNAs and self-splicing introns. This processing involves the U7 snRNP, which contains only one RNA species: U7. The 5' end of U7 RNA is thought to base-pair to a conserved spacer element downstream of the cleavage site in histone pre-mRNA. Lineage: Eukaryota; Metazoa; Chordata; Mammalia; Primates; Cebidae. The record is from Ensembl.